UUUAUGAGCACAGAGCCUGCUAUCAAGUGCUGAUACAAGGUAUGAAGGAAGGUUAGCUUCUCCUGUGAGAAAAAAAGAAAUUAAUUCCAGUAUAUAAACACUGUAAGAAGUAAAACACAUAAUACACAUGGUGAAGAAUUUAUGUCAAAAAUCCUGGAAAGGAAGUGUAGAAGCCAAAAGACCCAGGUUUUAAGGCCAGCUCUGCUCCAACGGAGGACACGAUCUGAGUCAGUGUCUGUUCAGCCUUACUUGUCUGUAAAGCCUUCCUUGGCUUUAACAUGAGGUAUCUGGACCAGCUGCUUCUAAGCUCUUCUAACUCCACCCCCUUGGUCUCCCCACUGCUGUCUCUGGCACUGGUUCACAACAAAGCGCAUUACUAAGCCAAAGCCUGCUGAGUCGACUUUUCAACUGUGCUGAGGAUCAUGUGACAUUCAUCCUCCCAAAUAACAAUUCGCUGUGGGUAAUAUGUUCCUACUUACCCUGCAGCUUCCAGAGCUAGGCCUCAGAAGAGGUGCAUAAACUACUAACAGUACAGGUUGUCUUGUCUCACUGGGAAA
Molecule: non-coding RNA, 557 nt
Organism: Odocoileus virginianus texanus
Lineage: Eukaryota; Metazoa; Chordata; Mammalia; Artiodactyla; Cervidae
Source: RefSeq, a predicted model, not a curated record